GUGGGGAAUCUUCCGCAAUGGACGAAAGUCUGACGGAGCAACGCCGCGUGAGUGAAGAAGGUUUUCGGAUCGUAAAGCUCUUUCGUUAGGGACGAACGUGCUCUAUGUGAAUAAUGAGGAGUAAUGACGGUACCUAAAUAAGAAGCCACGGCUAACUACGUGCCAGCAGCCGCGGUAAUACGUAGGUGGCAAGCGUUGUCCGGAAUUAUUGGGCGUAAAGCGCGCGCAGGCGGGAUAUCAAGUCUGUCUUAAAAGUGCGAGGCUCAACCUCGUGAGGGGACAGAAACUGGUAUUCUUGAGUGUCGGAGAGGAAAGUGGAAUUCCAAGUGUAGCGGUGAAAUGCGUAGAGAUUUGGAAGAACACCAGUGGCGAAGGCGACUUUCUGGACGAUGUCUGACGCUGAGGCGCGAAAGCUAGGGGAGCGAACGGGAUUAGAAACCCUGGUAGUCC
This 450-nucleotide ribosomal RNA is filed under the name uncultured bacterium. Its description in RNAcentral is "partial 16S ribosomal RNA". It matches the Rfam family "Bacterial small subunit ribosomal RNA", at positions 354 to 796 of the family's 1533-position model. The record is from RNAcentral.